UACGGGGGGGGCAAGCGUUGUUCGGAAUUACUGGGCGUAAAGGGCUCGUAGGCGGCCAACUAAGUCGGACGUGAAAUCCCCAGGCUCAACCUGGGAACUGCGUCCGAUACUGGAUGGCUUGAAUCCGGGAGAGGGAUGCAGAAUUCCACGUGUAGCGGUGAAAUGCGUAGAGAUGUGGAGGAACACCAGUGGCGAAGGCGACUUUCUGGUCUGUAACUGACGCUGAGGCGCGAAAGCGUGGGGAGCAAACAGG
This 253-nucleotide ribosomal RNA is filed under the name uncultured bacterium. RNAcentral's name for it is "partial 16S ribosomal RNA". It matches the Rfam family "Bacterial small subunit ribosomal RNA", at positions 524 to 776 of the family's 1533-position model. The record is from RNAcentral.